AGCCCCCCUCAAGAUGAGAUUUCCCAUCGCGUCAAGCGAGUAAGAUCCCUUGAAGAUGACAAGGUAGAUAGGUCCGAGGUGGAAGCGUGGCGACACGUGCAGCUGACGGAUACUAAUCGAUCGAGGAUUUAACUAAG
This 137-nucleotide ribosomal RNA is filed under the name Anoxybacillus flavithermus. Its description in RNAcentral is "partial 23S ribosomal RNA". It matches the Rfam family "Bacterial large subunit ribosomal RNA", at positions 2791 to 2925 of the family's 2925-position model. The record is from RNAcentral. Lineage: Bacteria; Bacillati; Bacillota; Bacilli; Caryophanales; Anoxybacillaceae.